RNAcentral lists this ribosomal RNA (376 nucleotides) under uncultured bacterium. RNAcentral's name for it is "bacterial SSU rRNA". It matches the Rfam family "Bacterial small subunit ribosomal RNA", at positions 521 to 896 of the family's 1533-position model. The record is from RNAcentral.
UAAUACGAAGGGGGCUAGCGUUGUUCGGAAUUACUGGGCGUAAAGGGCGCGUAGGCGGCCAUUCAAGUUAGGCGUGAAAGCCCUGGGCUCAACCUAGGAAUUGCGCUUGAUACUGUUUGGCUUGAGUUCGGGAGAGGUGAGUGGAAUUCCCAGUGUAGAGGUGAAAUUCGUAGAUAUUGGGAAGAACACCAGUGGCGAAGGCGGCUCACUGGACCGACACUGACGCUGAGGCGCGAAAGCGUGGGGAGCAAACAGGAUUAGAUACCCUGGUAGUCCACGCCGUAAACGAUGUGUGCUAGACGCUGGGAAACAUAGUUUUUCGGUGUCGCAGCUAACGCUUUAAGCACACCGCCUGGGGAGUACGGUCGCAAGAUUA